GACGAACGCUGGCGGCGUGCUUAACACAUGCAAGUCGAACGGAAAGGCCCUGCUUUUGUGGGGUGCUCGAGUGGCGAACGGGUGAGUAACACGUGAGUAACCUGCCCUUGACUUUGGGAUAACUUCAGGAAACUGGGGCUAAUACCGGAUAGGAGCUCCUGCUGCAUGGUGGGGGUUGGAAAGUUUCGGCGGUUGGGGAUGGACUCGCGGCUUAUCAGCUUGUUGGUGGGGUAGUGGCUUACCAAGGCUUUGACGGGUAGCCGGCCUGAGAGGGGGGACGGGCAAAAUGGGGAUGGGAAAAGGGCCAGACUCCUAAGGGGGGGAGGAGGGGGGGAAAUUGCAAAAAGGGGGGGAGCCUGAUGGAGGAAAGCCGGGUGGGGGAUGAAGGCCUUUGGGGUGGAAAACCCUUUCACCAUGGAAGAAGGGGUGGUGAAGGGAAAUGGGGAAGAAAAAACCGGUAAAUAAGGG
Molecule: ribosomal RNA, 468 nt
Filed under: uncultured bacterium
Lineage: Bacteria
Description: partial 16S ribosomal RNA
Rfam family: Bacterial small subunit ribosomal RNA
Source: RNAcentral